GGAGGAUGCUGGAGACUCUUCUCACAAGCAUGAUAAAAGAAGCAACCAUUCUCAUCGACAGGACAGGUCAAUAAGUCGAGAGCGCUCAUCUGGAAGACAGGAGAGGUCCAUGGACAUGGAAGAUUUCUCUCAUAGACAGAGAACACAUGAAAAGAAACGAGGUGAUCGAAGAUCCCCCAGCCAUGAUUAUUCAUCAGAUAGGAGUUC
RNAcentral lists this unclassified non-coding RNA (207 nucleotides) under Hevea brasiliensis (rubber tree). The record is from RNAcentral. Lineage: Eukaryota; Viridiplantae; Streptophyta; Magnoliopsida; Malpighiales; Euphorbiaceae.